GAUGAACGCUGGCGGCGUGCCUAAUACAUGCAAGGCGAGCGAACAGACGAGGAGCUUGCUCCUCUGACGUUAGCGGCGGACGGGUGAGUAACACGUGGAUAACCUACCUAUAAGACUGGGAUAACUUCGGGAAACCGGAGCUAAUACCGGAUAAUAUAUUGAACCGCAUGGUUCAAUAGUGAAAGACGGUUUUGCUGUCACUUAUAGAUGGAUCCGCGCCGCAUUAGCUAGUUGGUAAGGUAACGGCUUACCAAGGCAACGAUGCGUAGCCGACCUGAGAGGGUGAUCGGCCACACUGGAACUUAGACGCGGUGCCGGCUCCUUGGGGAGGCACCAGUAGGGACUCUUCCGCCUAGGGCGAAAGCCUGACGGAACAACCCCGCGUGAGGGAUGAAGGUCUUCGGAUCGUACAACUCUGUUAUUAGGGAAGAACAAAUGUGUAAGUAAAUAGGCGCGUCUUGACGGUACCUAAUCAGAAAGCCACGGCUAACUACGUG
Molecule: ribosomal RNA, 497 nt
Filed under: uncultured bacterium
Lineage: Bacteria
Description: partial 16S ribosomal RNA
Rfam family: Bacterial small subunit ribosomal RNA
Source: RNAcentral